RNAcentral lists this unclassified non-coding RNA (391 nucleotides) under Hevea brasiliensis (rubber tree). Lineage: Eukaryota; Viridiplantae; Streptophyta; Magnoliopsida; Malpighiales; Euphorbiaceae. The record is from RNAcentral.
AAGGAAGAUUUUAAGGGCUCCAAGGUUAGGCAGCUCUCACUAGGAUUAAAUUUGUGGAUCAAUUCUAUCCAUUUCUUUGCUUUUGUCUGUUUCUUUGUUUGUUCUCAUCUUAUUUUUGUUCUGCCUUCUGGUUGUUUUGUUUGUGUGUGUGUGUGUGUUUUUUCCUUUUGGUGGCAAGUCCCACAAACUACAAACUAGUCAGGCUAAAAUGGAAGUCCACUUAUAAAAUGUAAAAAUAUUCUGCAAUGUGAAGAUGUACGUUCAUAUGAAAAUUGCAUCUUAAUUAUAGAUAACUAAUAACAUAAACUUGCUCUAUUGGUAAUUGUCUGACUAGCAAUAUUAGCCAUUACUAAUAUUAUUUUUUUACAGUGGCUGGUAAUAAGAUAUGGAA